Molecule: small nucleolar RNA, 131 nt
Filed under: Mus caroli (Ryukyu mouse)
Lineage: Eukaryota; Metazoa; Chordata; Mammalia; Rodentia; Muridae
Description: predicted gene, 22807 (MGP_CAROLIEiJ_G0035843.1)
Rfam family: Small nucleolar RNA SNORA65
About the family: U65 belongs to the H/ACA class of snoRNAs which are thought to guide the sites of modification of uridines to pseudouridines.
Source: RNAcentral
AAAGCCACUGCACCUGACCACUAUUGUUGGCUGGUGCAAUCCAGUGGUGAGCUGACAGUUAAGCCCCAGCUUUUAGGAAACAGGGCUGUCCCACAUGUGGACGGCUCUGUGCCGAAAGCAUGGGAACAGUC